Molecule: ribosomal RNA, 392 nt
Filed under: uncultured bacterium
Lineage: Bacteria
Description: bacterial SSU rRNA
Rfam family: Bacterial small subunit ribosomal RNA
Source: RNAcentral
GACGAACGCUGGCGGCGUGCUUAACACAUGCAAGUCGAGCGGUAAGGCCCUUUCGGGGGUACACGAGCGGCGAACGGGUGAGUAACACGUGGGUGACCUGCCCUCAGCUCUGGGAUAAGCCUGGGAAACUGGGUCUAAUACUGGAUAUGACUCCACGGUGCAUGUCGUGGGGUGGAAAGCCUUGUGCGGCUGAGGAUGGGCCCGCGGCCUAUCAGCUUGUUGGGAGGUGAUGGCCUACCAAGGCGACGACGGGUAGCCGGCCUGAGAGGGCGACCGGCCACACUGGGACUGAGACACGGCCCAGACUCCUACGGGAGGCAGCAGUGGGGAAUCUUGCGCAAUGGGCGAAAGCCUGACGCAGCGACGCCGCGUGAGGGAUGACGGCCUCGGUU